AUGAGAACCAAUACUACUACUUCUCCUCCCGGGGUUUCCACAAUUGAAGAAAAAAGUACAUGUCAUAUCAAUCAAAUUGUUGGACCCGUGCUGGAUGUCACUUUCCCCCCAUGCAAGUUACCUUAUAUUUAUAACACUUUGGUAGUCCAUAAUAGAGAUACUGCCGAUAAGCAAAUUAAUGUGACUUGUGAGGUACAAAAAUUAUUAGGAGAUAAUCAAGUUAGAGUUGUAGCUAUGAGUGCUACACACGGGUUGAUGAGAGGAAUGGAAUGUUGGGAUCUAUGGUAG
Molecule: ribosomal RNA, 288 nt
Filed under: Triticum aestivum (bread wheat)
Lineage: Eukaryota; Viridiplantae; Streptophyta; Magnoliopsida; Poales; Poaceae
Description: partial small subunit ribosomal RNA
Source: RNAcentral